Molecule: non-coding RNA, 100 nt
Filed under: unclassified sequences
Description: L4-Archaeoglobi ribosomal protein leader
Rfam family: L4-Archaeoglobi ribosomal protein leades
Source: RNAcentral
CUGAAGGGCGCGUCCGGGUCAAUUGCGGCUUGCAACACCCAAUCGCUCUCAACACACCUCCCGGAAUGGAGGUCGCUGAGGGCGAGCGCGUGACCGUCAG